UUGACGCGAUACGUAUUAUGUGAACCAUUUACUUUUAAAUAUAUGCUACCUCAACCGUAACAAGAAUAAUAUUUUGGCUAACAUGCCAAAUAAUGGUAAAUACAACGCUCUGUCAGGUAAUAUUUCAAAUAUUCAAUGUUAUCUUCUUCAUGAAUAACAUCUUCAUUUUUAGAAUUAUCUAUAUAUAAAGACCAGUCAGUCAUAUGCUAUCUUCACCGUAAGAAGAAUUAUAUUUUGGCCAACCUGCCAAAUAAUGGUAAAUACAACGUUCUGUCAGAAUUAUCUAUAUAUAAAGACCAGUCAGUCAUAUGCUACCGUCACCGUAAGAAGAAUUAUAUUUUGGCUAACAUGCCAAAUAAUGGUAAAUACAACGUUCUGUCAGAAUUAUCUAUAUAUAACGACCAGUCGGUCAUAUGCUAUCUUCACCGUAAGAAGAAUUAUAUUUUGGCCAACAUGCCAAAUAAUGGUAAAUACAACGUUC
Leptinotarsa decemlineata (Colorado potato beetle) is the source of this 481-nucleotide long non-coding RNA. NCBI's taxonomy places the organism in Eukaryota, Metazoa, Arthropoda, Insecta, Coleoptera, Chrysomelidae. The record is from RefSeq and is a predicted model, not a curated record.